ACAGCAGUAGCCGCGGUAAUGCGUAGGGUGCAAGCGUUAAUCGGAAUUACUGGGCGUAAAGCGUGCGCAGGCGGUUUGUUAAGACAGAUGUGAAAUCCCCGGGCUUAACCUGGGAACUGCAUUUGUGACUGGCAAGCUAGAGUCUGGCAGAGGGGGGUGGAAUUCCGCGUGUAGCAGUGAAAUGCGUAGAUAUGCGGAGGAACACCGAUGGCGAAGGCAGCCCCCUGGGCCAACACUGACGCUCAUGCACGAAAGCGUGGGGAGCAAACAGGAUUAGAUACCCCCGUAGUCCCUGUCUCUUAUAC
RNAcentral lists this ribosomal RNA (305 nucleotides) under uncultured bacterium. RNAcentral describes it as "partial 16S ribosomal RNA". It matches the Rfam family "Bacterial small subunit ribosomal RNA", at positions 506 to 807 of the family's 1533-position model. The record is from RNAcentral.